Aquimarina spongiae is the source of this 65-nucleotide regulatory RNA element. It matches the Rfam family "S15-Flavobacteria ribosomal protein leader". The record is from Rfam. NCBI's taxonomy places the organism in Bacteria, Pseudomonadati, Bacteroidota, Flavobacteriia, Flavobacteriales, Flavobacteriaceae.
UAUAUUUGCACGCUGAUAGCAGAAUGUUAUCAAUACAUAAAAAUCAUUUAAAUAAUAUUGGAAUG